CCUCUCCUUACUAUCUUGAAGAAAACGCUCGAAAGAAAAGCCAGAGCAUGGACAUAGAAAGAUAUUCUAACUGGUGGAAGCUAAAGAGCACCUCAAAACGUGAUAGUCUUAACCAGAUUCUACAACUCCAAUCUCAUAAUUUUCCUAAAGAAUUGAUUGGGGGUUCACAAUUGAAACUACUUAUGCAAAUAUUGACUUGGUAUUCAAGACAAUAUGUGCUAUACUUUCGCUUUCUUUGCUGGUUCAGUCUAAUUGAAUAGUGAAUCUCAGAUUUAAGGAGAGGUCAGCGACGCGCCAAAAAGAUGCAAUGGAAUCGAGACUCAGGCUUGGAGAAAUUAGAUAUGUUCAAGAAAUUUGAACAGGGUUUUGAGGAUCAAGACAAAGAAGGAAAGGAAAAGAAAGGUGAUGGAGAAGAAGACAAUACAGAGGAAGAACCAGGAGAACUGUCUGAUGAAUCGUACAGUGAUGAUGGAGAUUAUAAUGAGGGCAGCAUGAAGUUUUAGAUGCUAAGUCACAUGAUAUCAGCAUAUGUUAUUCCCUUUUAGUUUUAUGUAAUAGGCAAUAUCCGGAUUGGAGAAAGUUUGAAAGGAUCCAUUAAACCUUAAAUGAAAAGAAUAGUUUUAUUUAUUGGAAUUCAAGCUGAUGCUUCUCAUAAAGAAACAAAAACAAGAGUCGUAUGUUGGUUUGGAAUUUUUAAAAAUAAUGUUGCCAAUAAUGUUUACAAUC
Theobroma umbraticum is the source of this 726-nucleotide RNA transcript. RefSeq lists it as uncharacterized. NCBI's taxonomy places the organism in Eukaryota, Viridiplantae, Streptophyta, Magnoliopsida, Malvales, Malvaceae. The record is from RefSeq and is a predicted model, not a curated record.